UGCUUUUGAUGGGCGUCGACCGGCGCACGGGUGAGUAACGCGUAUCCAACCUGCCCAUCACUUGGGGAUAACCUUGCGAAAGUAAGACUAAUACCCAAUGAUAUCUCUAGAAGGCAUCUGAAAGAGAUUAAAGAUUUAUCGGUGAUGGAUGGGGAUGCGUCUGAUUAGCUUGUUGGCGGGGUAACGGCCCACCAAAGCAACGAUCAGUAGGGGUUCUGAGAGGAAGGUCCCCCACAUUGGAACUGAGACACGGUCCAAACUCCUACGGGAGGCAGCAGUGAGGAAUAUUGGUCAAUGGGCGAGAGCCUGAACCAGCCAAGUAGCGUGCAGGAUGACGGCCCUAUGGGUUGUAAACUGCUUUUAUAAGGGAAUAAAGUGAGUCUCGUGAGACUUUUUGCAUGUACCUUAUGAAUAAGGACCGGCUAAUUCCGUGCCAGCAGCCGCGGUAAUACGGAAGGUCCGGGCGUUAUCCGGAUUUAUUGGGUUUAAAGGGAGCGUAGGCCGGAGAUUAAGCGUGUUGUGAAAUGUAGACGCUCAACGUCUGCACUGCAGCGCGAACUGGUUUCCUUGAGUACGCACAAAGUGGGCGGAAUUCGUGGUGUAGCGGUGAAAUGCUUAGAUAUCACGAAGAACUCCGAUUGCGAAGGCAGCUCACUGGAGCGCAACUGACGCUGAA
Molecule: ribosomal RNA, 676 nt
Filed under: uncultured bacterium
Lineage: Bacteria
Description: bacterial SSU rRNA
Rfam family: Bacterial small subunit ribosomal RNA
Source: RNAcentral